RNAcentral lists this transfer RNA (75 nucleotides) under Terriglobia bacterium. RNAcentral's name for it is "tRNA-Ala". It matches the Rfam family "tRNA". From Rfam's summary of the family: Transfer RNA (tRNA) molecules are approximately 80 nucleotides in length. Their secondary structure includes four short double-helical elements and three loops (D, anti-codon, and T loops). The record is from RNAcentral. Lineage: Bacteria; Pseudomonadati; Acidobacteriota; Terriglobia.
GGGCGUGUGGUGUUAACGGCAGCACGAUCCACUUGCAAUGAUGAGGUGCGGGUUCAAAUCCCGCCACGUCCACCA